CACUACGAACCGCACCGAACCGUCCGAAAAACCGAAACCAUCCCAAAGCUCUGCAGCACCUCAGCGACGAGACGAACCAAAAAAAUCUGACCGACCGCCAACCGAGCCACAGUGUUGGAGAUGUGGUAGAAGGGGUCAUCUCCGAUCACAAUGCACCUCGAAGCCGCUGCUGUUCUGCUCUCGAUGUGGUAAGAGGGGUAUCAUGUCUAGGGACUGUAGGUGUUCGUUAAACUACCAAGGAACAGCCUGAAACCGGGGAUCCGCCAGUUCCAAACAACCAUGUCUUCGGUUCCUGAGAAAGGAAAACCAACUGAUCACCGUCCGUUUAUUAAUGUUUUUGUAGGAGACAAGGAGUUCGCUGCACUCUUGGACACCGGAGCUACCAGGUCCUUCAUCAGCAGUGAAGUGGCCGCCCACUGUAAGGUAGUUGGUAUACAACCCGGAUUAUGUUAGAGACGUUACCACCACCGUCGCUAACGGAAGUUCCAUACCCAUUAGAGAAAUAUAUACCGCACCGAUCCGGAUUGGGCCUGGAAGCUAAAUUGUUAUUAGUUUCAGAUCUACCUGUCGAUGUAGUCCUGGGAAUGGAUAUACUGAGGACACACAAUUUUUCAAUCAACCUGCAAACCGCCGAAUGUUUCCUGAAUGGAAGGUCUAUCCAAGCCCGUCCCAGUGAAUCAGAGAACCGAGGACAGUUACAUGCGAUAGGACCGCUUUUGACGUCCCUGAGUGGAGAAGAGAAAGUCCGACUGGAAGAGUUCUUGCAAACCGAAUUGAAGGCAUUCGAAGACCUCCGAGGAACCACACCCCUGAUCCAACCGUAUUAAACUCAAACCAGGCACCGAACCCAUCAAGCAGCGUUAUCGUCCCCAAAAUCCGAAGAUGCAGGAAAUAAUAAACCAGGAAGUUGACCGAAUGUUGGCCGAAGGCAUCAUUGAACCGUCCUCAUCUCCGUGGAGCUCACCAAUAGUAAUUGUCCAGAAAAAGGAUGGUACCGUUAGCCCCCGAGAGCCGACCGAUCACCGCAUUUACCGUCCCUAGCCGUGGGCUGUUCCAGUUCAAAGUAAUGGCUUUUGGUCUGCAUUCCGCACCGGCAUCCUUUCAACGUCUUUUAGACCGAGUUAUUGGCCUUGAGAUGAAACCGGAUGCAUUUGCGUACUUGGAUGACAUAGUGGUUCUCGGAGAGACAUUGGACGAACAUCUUGACAACCUAAGGAAAGUUUUCCACCGCCUCAGGGAGGCCAACCUGCAGUUAAAUCCGGAAAAAUAUUUCAGCCAUAAAUGAAAUGCCUGCACCGAAAUCCGUACGAGAGCUGAGAAGUUUUCUUGGUGUUGCUUCAUGGUACCGUAGAUUCAUCGAGGAUUUCUCCAGGGUUGUGGCUCCGUUAAGCGCAUUACUCAAAAAGAAGCAAACCUGGAAAUGGGA
RNA transcript from Coccinella septempunctata (seven-spotted ladybird), 1426 nucleotides. RefSeq lists it as uncharacterized. Lineage: Eukaryota; Metazoa; Arthropoda; Insecta; Coleoptera; Coccinellidae. The record is from RefSeq and is a predicted model, not a curated record. The transcript is spliced from 3 exons.